RNAcentral lists this long non-coding RNA (935 nucleotides) under Homo sapiens (human). RNAcentral describes it as "HSALNT0111216". The record is from RNAcentral. Lineage: Eukaryota; Metazoa; Chordata; Mammalia; Primates; Hominidae.
GUCUGGGCUCAUGGCUUGAAUGAAGGCUAUGUAGUCACAGGAGCCAUGGGGUAUCCCUGCUUGGCCCUGCAAGCCAGAACAAUGGAAGCCACUCUGGAGAGAGAGAGACAGAGAUGAAAACAGAUGGAAAAGCAGCGAGAAGCCACGGGAGUGAGCUGCCUGCAUUCCCCGCUCUCCAGACCCGGGUUCUGGAUCCAGCCUCACCUCCUGCCAUAGUUUCCGAGAGGAGGGCAACCCCCUUCCCCACCCACCCAGUAAUCCACUCAGAGGGAAGAGAAGGAAGGAUGAAUGGCUUUUCAGAAGAGAAAGCACAGUUCUCAAGUGGAGCCUUGGGUCUCUCUGCAUAGGACUGACUGACGAGCCUAUCUGGAGAGCUCCUACUAAGCCCAGUCUCCUGUCUCCUCCACCACCAAAAGGCAUCCUUUGGUGAUGUCAUUACUGUCAUUCACCGUGAAUAUGGACAAUCAACAGCCAAGGAUCUUUUGUGUAAUUAAAUGUACUAGCUUGACAGCUCCCAAAUGAGGGGGUAAUAGUUACUGGAUGUAAAGUGGCUUUUCUCUAAUCCUGAGUGACGGCAUGCUGUUGCUAGGUGCCUGUUUUUCUGCCUUUCAAAUACAAAGUGACUAAUGGGGUAUAUUUCAUAACACAUCUGCAAGUAUGUAGUUCUUCUUAUACUUCGAUGCCCUUUAAAAUAUUAUUAUCUGCCAACAUUUGGACUAUGUGCUUAUAUGCAAAUUAGACAUAAUAAAGGAAGAAGGGAGAAGUUCUUUGCUCUUGAAAAAUCAUAUUUAUAAGGUUAACGAGAUUUAUAUAUUACAUCAGGGAACUGGGGUUAGAAUGCAAAACUUUAUCAAUGUAACUUGGCAACAAUAAAGAUCCUCUGGUGUUUUCCCCUGUAUGAGAUCAAAACUUUUUAUCUACACUGAGGUUUAAUU